RNAcentral lists this ribosomal RNA (497 nucleotides) under uncultured bacterium. RNAcentral describes it as "partial 16S ribosomal RNA". It matches the Rfam family "Bacterial small subunit ribosomal RNA", at positions 28 to 507 of the family's 1533-position model. The record is from RNAcentral.
GAUGAACGCUGGCGGCGUGCCUAAUACAUGCAAGUCGAGCGAACAGAUGAGGAGCUUGCUCCUCUGACGUUAGCGGCGGACGGGUGAGUAACACGUGGAUAACCUACCUAUAAGACUGGGAUAACUUCGGGAAACCGGAGCUAAUACCGGAUAAUAUAUUGAACCGCAUGGUUCAAUAGUGAAAGACGGUUUUGCUGUCACUUAUAGAUGGAUCCGCGCCGCAUUAGCUAGUUGGUAAGGUAACGGCUUACCAAGGCGACGAUGCGUAGCCGACCUGAGAGGGUGAUCGGACACACGGGAACUGAGACACGGUCCAGACUCCUACGGGAGGCAGCAGUAGGGAAUCUUCCGCAAUGGGCGAAAGCCUGACGGAGCAACGCCGCGUGAGUGAUGAAGGUCUUCGGAUCGUAAAACUCUGUUAUUAGGGAAGAAAAAAUGUGUAAGUAAAUAUGCACGUCUUGACGGUACCUAAUCAGAAAGCCACGGCUAACUACGUG